Molecule: long non-coding RNA, 1220 nt
Organism: Oreochromis aureus
Lineage: Eukaryota; Metazoa; Chordata; Actinopteri; Cichliformes; Cichlidae
Exons: 3
Source: RefSeq, a predicted model, not a curated record
UGAGGAAGAACGAAACAGGACACAAACAAACACACACAGUUUGUUUAUGAAGAAAUUCAGCCAGUGAGUUUGAUUCCAGCUGAUCAAUAAUCUAUAAUCAUGUGGAUUUGUCUUCAAACACAAGAGUGAUCCAGAUGUCCUGAAAUAAGAGCUGAACAUUUAGGUCCAAACAUCACAGGAACAGUCAAACUGUUAAAGGAGGAAACUACGGUGGCCUUGAGAGGCCAAAUGGAGUGCAACUUAAGAAAACACUAGCAAUAAGAAAAAUGCUGCAAAAGCACACAGAACACAACGAAAAUAGGAAAAAACAGAUUUCCAAAAGCACAAGGGAAGUGUUUCUGGGGAGACAAUAAUCCGACGGACCAGUUGCAGGAACCAAAAUAUGCUAAGACGCUUAAAAGAACUGGAGGAUCUAUCGGUUUUGUGAGGAAAGAAAAGAUGAGAGACAGACAGGGAGUCGCUGUAAGGCUGUCCAAGCAAAUCCACGGCUGUAACAGAGAGUGAAGAAGAUUGUAACAGAGUCCAACAGUCUGCAGUGGCCACCACAGUCCACCGUCUUCACAUCACAAGGACAAUUUCAACAUGUCUGUGAAGUCUCCUUGCCCUUGUACUCAUGCCUUGAUGAACAAGUUUGUUUCAUGAAUAUUUCUCAGACAGAAGAAGGUGAUAUUCCAACGGAGCUGAAAAGGAGAGCCGUGGAUGCCUUACAUUUGAAGACCAGAGCAGCUGAAGAAAAGCUGUGACUCCAACGUGAGAUGUACACUGUGAUUCAUCACCUCCACCAGCAACACACUGACCUGCAUUCAUCCAUAGAUGACACUCAGGACUCUGGUUCCACAGCUGUUCUUGUUCACAGCUGCAUCCAGUUAGAGAGGAAACUGUAUAAUGCAAUGAUGAUGUUCCAGCAUCAUGUUGCAGUUGUUGCUCCUCCUCCACAUGCUUACCUGUGUUAAGGUUCAAAUAUUGAGGAGGAAUCCAAAAAUAACCACUGAUCCGGGCUGGUGCAAUUAGACGACAUUUUAAUGUACACAUGUGUGAGUCCAACAGUUCAGUUGUUGAACUACCUUACAAUAGUCAGAACAAAGGCUUUAUAGGGUUUCUGUUGUCAGGCAGAUCCAUACAGCAUACGUCACUCCAAAACCACAAACGUUCUGUCAACCCUUGACACAGUUUAAAAGAACAUCGUCUUCGGCUCGGUGCUUCCCCUCAGCUCGUCUUCG